RNAcentral lists this ribosomal RNA (466 nucleotides) under Mannophryne yustizi (Yacambu poison frog). RNAcentral describes it as "partial 16S ribosomal RNA". It matches the Rfam family "Bacterial large subunit ribosomal RNA", at positions 1936 to 2564 of the family's 2925-position model. The record is from RNAcentral. Lineage: Eukaryota; Metazoa; Chordata; Amphibia; Anura; Aromobatidae.
GUAUCCUAACCGUGCGAAGGUAGCGUAAUCACUUGUCCUUUAAAUGAGGACUAGUAUGAACGGUUUCACGAAGGCUGCACUGUCUCCUUUUUCUAAUCAGUAAAACUAAUCUUCCCGUGAAGAAGCGGGAAUUUUCCUAUAAGACGAGAAGACCCUAUGGAGCUUUAAACAAUUGAUACACUUGCAUCUUAAACCUCACUUUUUAUUUAACCAAGCAUUUUGUUUCUAGUUUUAGGUUGGGGUGACCGCGGAGAAAAACCUAUCCUCCAUGUCGAAAGAAAUUCUAUUUCUUAGCAAAAAGCCACAUCUUUAUGCAUCAACAAAUUGACCCUAAUUGACCCAAUAAUUUGAUCAACGAACCAAGUUACCCUAGGGAUAACAGCGCAAUCCACUUCAAGAGCUCUUAUCGACAAGUGGGUUUACGACCUCGAUGUUGGAUCAGGGUAUCCAAGUGGUGCAGUAGCUA